This 464-nucleotide ribosomal RNA is filed under the name uncultured bacterium. RNAcentral describes it as "partial 16S ribosomal RNA". It matches the Rfam family "Bacterial small subunit ribosomal RNA", at positions 339 to 795 of the family's 1533-position model. The record is from RNAcentral.
CUACGGGUGGCAGCAGUGGGGAAUUUUGGACAAUGGGCGCAAGCCUGAUCCAGCCAUUCCGCGUGAGUGAAGAAGGCCUUCGGGUUGUAAAGCUCUUUCGCAAGGGAAGAACACUUAGCUACUAAUAUUAGCUGAGGUUGACGGUACCUUGAUAAGAAGCACCGGCUAAGUACGUGCCAGCAGCCGCGGUAAUACGUAGGGUGCGAGCGUUAAUCGGAAUUACUGGGCGUAAAGCGUGCGCAGGCUGUUUUGUAAGUCAGAUGUGAAAUCCCCGAGCUCAACUUGGGAACUGCGUUUGAAACUACAAGACUAGAAUAUGUCAGAGGGGGGUAGAAUUCCACGUGUAGCAGUGGAAUGCGUAGAGAUGUGGAGGAAUACCAAUGGCGAAGGCAGCCCCCUGGGAUAAUAUUGACGCUCAUGCACGAAAGCGUGGGGAGCAAACAGGAUUAGAUACCCGGGUAGUC